This 2305-nucleotide ribosomal RNA is filed under the name human gut metagenome. RNAcentral's name for it is "bacterial LSU rRNA". It matches the Rfam family "Bacterial large subunit ribosomal RNA", at positions 291 to 2557 of the family's 2925-position model. The record is from RNAcentral.
GACGGGGUUGCAGGGCCGCGCAUCCGGGGGCUGCCGCCCCCGGGCGCAGGUCCGGCUGGGGAGCGGAACGGCAUGGGAGGGCCGGCCGCAGCGGGUGACAGCCCCGUACGCGAACCCAGACCGGACGGCGCGACGCGGUCCCUGAGUAGGGCCGGGCACGUGAAACCCGGUCCGAACCUGGGUGGACCACCAUCCAAGCCUGAGUACUACCCUGUGACCGAUAGCGCACCAGUACCGUGAGGGAAAGGUGAAAAGCACCCCGGGAGGGGAGUGAAACAGUACCUGAAACCGUGCGCCCACGAGCAGUCGGAGCACCUUUAUGGUGUGACGGCGUGCCUUUUGUAGAAUGAGCCAGCGAGUCGCUGGCGCGGGGCGAGGUUAACCGAAAGGGAGCCGAAGCGAAAGCGAGCCUUAACAGGGCGACUUGAGUCCCGCGCCGCGGACGCGAAGCCGGGUGAGCUAUCCGUGGGCAGGCUGAAGCGGGGGUAAGACCCCGUGGAGGGCCGAACGCACGUCGGUUGAAAACGGCGGCGAUGACCUGCGGAUAGGGGUGAAAGGCCAAUCAAACCCGGAGAUAUCUCGUUCUCCCCGAAAUAGCUUUAGGGCUAGCGUCGCGCGUUCACCGCCGGAGGUAGAGCACCGGAUGGACGAGGGGGCUUCGCCGCCUACCGAAUCCAACCGAACUCCGAAUGCCGGCGGCCCAGAGCGCGGCAGUCAGAGCAUGUGGGCUAAGCUGUGUGCUCGAGAGGGAAACAGCCCGGACCGCCCGCUAAGGUCCCCAAGUUCCAGCCGAGUGGCAAAGGAUGUGCGUCCGCCCAGACAACCAGGAUGUUGGCUUAGAAGCAGCCAUCCAUUCAAAGAGUGCGUAACAGCUCACUGGUCGAGUGGACAUGCGCCGACAAUACACGGGGCUAAGCUGGACACCGAAGCGGCGGGAUUUUGAUUUUCAGAAUCGGUAGGGGAGCUUCCCAUGGGCGGAGAAGCCGGAGGGCGACCGACGGUGGAGCGCAUGGGAGUGAGAAUGCUGGCAUGAGUAGCGAGAGACGAGAGAGUAACUCGUCCGCCGUGAACCCGAGGUUUCCUGGGCAAGGCUAAUCCUCCCAGGGUCAGUCGGGGGCUAAGGCGAGGCCGGGAGGCGUAGCCGACGCGCAGCAGGCAGACAUUCCUGCACCGCGCACGCGGCGCUACGACCGACGGGGCGACGGAUGGGGGUGGCUCGGCGGGGUUCUGGACGUCCCCGUGAUGGAGCGCGGCCCGCGGACCAGGGAAAUCCGGUCCGCAUCAAGGGCGAGGCUCCGGACGAAGCGACUGAGCGAAGCGAGUGAGCCCGAGGUCCCUAGAAAAACCCCUAGGCAGGCGCGUGCGCGCCCGUACCGCAAACCGACACAGGUGGGUGGGUAGAACAUACCGAGGCGAUCGGGUCAACCAUGGUCAAGGAACUCGGCACAAUGGCCCCGUAACUUCGGGAGAAGGGGUGCCCGCGCGUACGUGAACCGGCUUGCCCGGGGAGCGGAGGCGGGCCGCAGUGGAGAGGCCCAAGCGACUGUUUACCAAAAACACAGGACUCUGCAGAAGCCGCAAGGCGACGUAUAGGGUCUGACGCCUGCCCGGUGCCGGAAGGUCACGCGGAGGAGUUAGCCGCAAGGCGAAGCCCCGAAGCCAAGCCCCGGUAAACGGCGGCCGUAACUAUAACGGUCCUAAGGUAGCGAAAUUCCUUGUCGGGUAAGUUCCGACCUGCACGAAAGGCGCAACGACUUGGGCGCUGUCUCGACCAUGGACCCGGUGAAAUUGCACUGGUCGUGAAGAUGCGACUUACCCGCGGAAGGACGGAAAGACCCCGUGAACCUUCACUGCAGCUUGGCAUUGGCCGCUGGUCCCGCGUGUAGAGGAUAGGCAGGAGGCAUCGAUCCGGAGGCGCCAGCCCCCGGGGAGCCGCCCUUGGAAUACUGCCCUCGCGCGACCGGCGUCCUAACCCGAGGCCGUCAACCGGCUCGGGGACCGUGCCAGGCGGGCAGUUUGACUGGGGCGGUCGCCUCCUAAAGGGUAACGGAGGCGCGCGAAGGUCCGCUCGGGACGGUCGGCAACCGUCCUUUUGAAUGCAAGAGUACAAGCGGGCUUGACUGCGAGGCCCACAAGCCGAGCAGGUGCGAAAGCAGGCUCUAGUGAUCCGGCGGCCCCGAGUGGGUGGGCCGUCGCUCAACGGAUAAAAGGUACUCCGGGGAUAACAGGCUGAUCUUGCCCAAGAGUCCACAUCGACGGCAAGGUUUGGCACCUCGAUGUCGGCUCAUCGCAUCCUGGGGCUGGA